This 325-nucleotide ribosomal RNA is filed under the name uncultured eukaryote. RNAcentral's name for it is "partial 18S ribosomal RNA". It matches the Rfam family "Eukaryotic small subunit ribosomal RNA", at positions 1470 to 1796 of the family's 1831-position model. The record is from RNAcentral.
CCCUUAGAUGUCCGGGGCUGCACGCGCGCUACACUGAAGGAAUCAGCGUGCUAGAAAACCUUGUUUGACAUGGCUAGGUAACCCGUUGAAAAUCUUUCGUGAUUGGGAUCGGGACUUGCAAAUGUGUCCCUUGAACGAGGAAUUCCCAGUAAGUGCGGGUCAUAAGCUCGCGCUGAUUACGUCCCUGCCCUUUGUACACACCGCCCGUCGCUCCUACCGAUUGAAUGUUCCGGUGAGCUCUUCGGACUGCGCGGUCUGCAGUUUCUGCGUUCCGUGCGGAAAGUUGCGCAAACCUUAACAUUUAGAGGAAGGAGAAGUCGUAACA